RNAcentral lists this ribosomal RNA (252 nucleotides) under uncultured bacterium. RNAcentral describes it as "partial 16S ribosomal RNA". It matches the Rfam family "Bacterial small subunit ribosomal RNA", at positions 524 to 776 of the family's 1533-position model. The record is from RNAcentral.
UACGUAGGGGCAAGCGUUGUCCGGAAUCAUUGGGCGUAAAGAGCGUGUAGGCGGCCUUUUAAGUCCUGCGUGAAAUCCUGCGGCUCAACCGCAGACGGUCGUGGGAAACUGGAAGGCUAGAGUGCGGGAGAGGAGAGUGGAAUUCCCGGUGUAGCGGUGAAAUGCGCAGAUAUCGGGAAGAACACCCGUGGCGAAGGCGGGUCUCUGGGCCGAUACUGACGCUGAGGAGCGAAAGCGUGGGGAGCGAACAGG